Molecule: ribosomal RNA, 253 nt
Filed under: uncultured bacterium
Lineage: Bacteria
Description: partial 16S ribosomal RNA
Rfam family: Bacterial small subunit ribosomal RNA
Source: RNAcentral
UACGAAGGGGGCUAGCGUUGCUCGGAAUCACUGGGCGUAAAGGGUGCGUAGGCGGGUCUUUAAGUCAGGGGUGAAAUCCUGGAGCUCAACUCCAGAACUGCCUUUGAUACUGAGGAUCUUGAGUUCGGGAGAGGUGAGUGGAACUGCGAGUGUAGAGGUGAAAUUCGUAGAUAUUCGCAAGAACACCAGUGGCGAAGGCGGCUCACUGGCCCGAUACUGACGCUGAGGCACGAGAGCGUGGGGAGCAAACAGG